UAAUCGAAUAUUCGAACGUCGAUUGAUACUAGAGUCUAAAAUUAAAUAUAUUUUUUAUUUAUGUUAUUUGGUGUUGACAUUUGAAAAUAAUGUGUCAGUACUACGCAUUUUGAAAACGGCAUCCAUUCGAAAAUCAAAUGCGCCUGUUGUAUAAUUCGUAAAUCCUUCAUGAAAACCGUGCGGAAAGCGUACCAAAGGUAGUAUCUUAUUGAUUUUUUGUCGCCUCGCGAGGUGGCCAUUGAAACAGCAAAAUAAACAAACUGCACAUCCAUGAUAAGAGUUAUAAAUUUCAAACAAUAUACCAACACCAAUAAUUUAAUUUAAUUUGAAUAAUUUGAAUGCACCUUGUAGAUACUCUAGUAGAUUUUUGUAAAUCAAUUUAACAUUAUCGUAAGAUUGCACAUCUUAACAACCGCAGUCGAAAUGAAGAAAAUGUUGAAAUUGGUGAAAGGGGGAAAAAAAGAGGAUAAAAGUGGCUCUGGCACACCAUCAGGUGAUGAACUAGAAGACGACCAGGAAAAUGCUAUUUUCUGCUAUAAAAUUGAUUCCGAAACCGAGGAAAAAAUGAGCCGAUUACACAGGGCUUCGUGGCAUGGCAGCCUAGAGAAAGUUAAGACUUUACUACAAAAAAAACCAAUGGAUGUGAACACUGUGGACAGCUUUGACAGAACGCCAUUGCACUUGGCAAUGGCCAAAGGUUACUAUAACAUUGCUUGGGUGCUGUUGAAUCACAACGCUAGCUUAGAUUAUGUUGAUUGUGAUGGGUAUACACCGUUCUUGAAGGCUGUAGAAUGCGGCCAAAAAGAAUGUGUUCAUUUAAUGUUGGAGAGAGGGGCAGAUGUAACAUGCACAGACAAAAAUAAAAAUACUGCUUUACACUUAGCUGCAAAACAGGGCUCAUUCACUAUAAUAUCUAUGCUACUUAAAAAAGGAAUUAAUAUAAAUGCACAAAAUGCUGCAGGUGAAUCCGUUCUACAUGUUGCUUGUGCUGCAGAAAAUCGUGAUCUAAUAGAAUUUAUAUUAGAUAAUGGAUCAUUAAUAAACAUAGCAGAUAACCAAGGACGUACACCAUUAAUGGUGGUAGCAAAACUUGGAAAUAUGUCUAUUGUAGACUUAUUAUUGGACCGAGGAAGUCAACUUGAUGCUUGUGAUAUAAAUGGUUUAUCUGUGAAAGAUUAUGCGAUUAAAGAAGGUCAUUCAAAAGUAGUGAACCAACUAUCUAUGCAAAAAAUGAGUAUAAUGGCUAGAACUAGAUCUAAAGAAAAUGUGUUAGAUGAUUUAGAUCAGAAUGAUGGUGCUCAAUUACAAGAAAAUAAUGAUAAUUCAAAUAAUCAAAAAAUCGUUGAUGCUCAAAUUAUAGUACUUAAAAAUGAUAAAAUAUCUAAAUCAAAUGUUGAAGAUAACCAAAAUGAAAAAGAAUUUAUAGCUUUUAGUUCUACAGCUGAGAAUGACGAUUUAAAGGUUAAUACAAUUGAUGUUGAAGAGGUAGAUAAUAAAAAGGAAAAUCUGAUUCUAAACUGUGAAGUUAAUCAUCCUGAUGAAUUAAAAACAAUUAAAUUAAAUAUUGAAAAUAAUCAGAAGGAAAAGGAAAAUGUAACUUUGAACUCUACUCUUAAAAAUGAAAAUGAAAUAAAUAAUAUUUCAAUAGAAACAGAUAAAGAAGUAAUUGAGAAAAAUAAAUUAACCGUUGAAAUCAAAAAUACAUCUACAGUAAAUGUUUUACCAACGAAAGAUGAAGAAUCAGUAUCCCAAUGCACAAUGCCUCCACCAUUAGAUCCACCUAGAAGCUGGGAUUUUAUACAGACAAGCAUAAUACACACCACGGACAUCAAUGAAAAAGCUGAAAAAGAAACACAAGAAAAUAUUGAGCAAAUCCCUGAUCCAAUUGUUUGUGCAGUAAAUACAGAUGAUUCAGAAUUGGAAUGGGGUAGUGAUGAAAGUCUUCCGACUGAUCCUAAUCAAUUGUGUCCUACUGUGGAUGAUAAAAAAGAAGAAAAUAAAAAAAUGAAUACAUUUUAUAAUUUUAUAACUACAAAAUUAAUGAACAAGACAAAAAAUAGAGUUUCUGCAUCUGCAGAAAAUAUCAUUGAUGAUACUACUACUAAAAAACAUGUGAGAAAUAAGUCUUUUACUUCACUGAGGACUUUUAAACUCACUGUUCCAUCAGAUGUAAACAAAGCUUUAUAUCAACUUAGUCCAGAGAUGAACUUUGCACAUUCUUCAUUCAGUAAAAGCAAAUCAUUUAAUGAGAAUAUUCCCACUGAAAAUGUUGAUAAAAAUUCUUUAGAAUUUGAACGUUCUAAGUCAUUAUGUUUGGAAUUAAAACAUAAUUAUGAUAUAACCGAGAAUCAGCAAAGAGAUUCAGAUAGCCAAAGUGAUGAUAGUCUCCGUUCAAAAAGAAGCCUUUUGUUAUCUAUGCGAAUGCCUAAAGUUCAUGAUGAACAUCAUGAUGACUAUCAUUUAGAAGUCAAGGAUAGUGAAACGUCUGAAGACGAAGGCCCACAUUACUGGUACAGUCCAAAUAAAAAAAAUGAUAAAAUAGUGCAACAAGAUACUGUUAUUAAGAACUACAGUGAAUCUGAUAGCGAAUCUGAAGAAAUUGGUUUACCAAAAUCUAAGUCUACUCUUGAAGGAAUUUCUAAAGAACAUAACACAUCAGAUAAUUCUGACACAGAGACAGAGAAUACAAUAUCGUUUUCAACUAGCCAUGAAGAUAUUUAUGGAACACAUAAACGCACUAGAUAUGCUUUAAAAAGAACUGAAUCUCUUAAAGCUUACCUAAAGAGAGUAACUAUUGAUAAAGAUAGAUUACAACAAGAAUCAUCUGGUUAUAGAGAAAUAACAGAGCUAUUAAAAUAUAAGUUGGGAAAUCUUAAACAAGAUAUUUCAAGUAAAAAUGAAACAACUAAGAGACUCAAAGAACAAUUAGAUCAGUUAGAUGCUAAAUACACAGAAGCUUUAAACAGGAUUCAAACACUUGAACUAUCUUCAACAAAUUUAGAUAAAGAAAACCAAUAUCUCAAGAAAAUAAAUAAAGAACUCACCGAUAAAUUUAACAAUGAAUGCAAUAACAGUGCACACAAAUCAGUAGAAAUAAUAACUCAACUUGAGUCCGGCAAUUUUAUUGAUCAAACAGAUGAUAUGUGUACAAUGGAUAGCAAAACCAUUAUAAAACAGCUACAAGAACAAUUAAAACUGGAACGGGAAAGACGAAUAGAACUUGACGAACGUAUUAAACUUUUAUCUGUAGAAGUUAAUGCACACCAGUCAUGUAGUUCAACUGUGGAAUUAUUGAAAGAAUUACAAUGUAAAAUUGCCAAAGAUUAUAUACCCAAAAAAGAAGUAUUAAAAUUAAAAACAGAACAAGAAAGAAAAAUCAGUAAAGUGAAAAUGGAAGCUGAAAAAAAAUUAGCGGACAAAUUUUGUGACCUUGAUAAAUUAUUAUCUCAACAAAUGGAUCAACAAGGAAAAUUAGAAAUGCAAAGGGAAAAAAUUGAAAGCCAACUUAAACAGGAAUUUGAAAAUACAAGACAAAGAUUUCAACUAGAAAUUGCAAAACUUCAAACAACACUAAAGAGUAUUAUUUUUAUACAGCCAAAGAAAUGGAGGAACAAAUAUUAAGGGAACGGUGUGAGAUUCUUUCACAAGAAAUCGAAAAAACACAAGAUAAUAAAUGGAAAACAUUGGUGGACAAAACUUAUGGAAUAAAUGAUAUGCAAAAAAGUUCACCCAAUAUGUUAUCAAUGCAUUGUAAAACUCCAGAGCCAAGUCCCACUUUUGAAAGACAAGAACUAAGAGACAUUUCUAGAUAUCAAUAUAAUGUUGAAACUCUCCGAAAUGAACUGGAUAAAGUCAUU
Molecule: unclassified non-coding RNA, 3857 nt
Filed under: Rhopalosiphum maidis (corn leaf aphid)
Lineage: Eukaryota; Metazoa; Arthropoda; Insecta; Hemiptera; Aphididae
Description: ankyrin repeat domain-containing protein 18B-like, transcript variant X3
Source: RNAcentral